UUCCCUAUAGCGCAGUGGAUAGCGCGUUGGAUUUCUAAUCCAAAAGUACCGGGUUCGUUUCCCGGUAGGGACC
This 73-nucleotide transfer RNA is filed under the name Limulus polyphemus (Atlantic horseshoe crab). RNAcentral's name for it is "tRNA-Arg". It matches the Rfam family "tRNA". Rfam says of the family: Transfer RNA (tRNA) molecules are approximately 80 nucleotides in length. The record is from RNAcentral. Lineage: Eukaryota; Metazoa; Arthropoda; Merostomata; Xiphosura; Limulidae.